CAGUCGCCCGGUAAUACGUAGGUGGCAGGCGUUGUCCGGAAUUAUUGGGCGUAAGGGGCUCGCAGGCGGUUUCUUAAGUCUGAUGUGAAAGCCCCCGGCUCAACCGGGGAGGGUCAUUGGAAACUGGGAAACUUGAGUGCAGAAGAGGAGAGUGGAAUUCCACGUGUAGCGGUGAAAUGCGUAGAGAUGUGGAGGAACACCAGUGGCGAAGGCGACUCUCUGGUCUGUAACUGACGCUGAGGAGCGAAAGCGUGGGGAGCGAACAGGAUUAGAUACCCGCGUAGUCCCUGUCUCUUAUACA
Molecule: ribosomal RNA, 301 nt
Filed under: uncultured bacterium
Lineage: Bacteria
Description: partial 16S ribosomal RNA
Rfam family: Bacterial small subunit ribosomal RNA
Source: RNAcentral